This 268-nucleotide ribosomal RNA is filed under the name uncultured bacterium. Its description in RNAcentral is "partial 16S ribosomal RNA". It matches the Rfam family "Bacterial small subunit ribosomal RNA", at positions 333 to 619 of the family's 1533-position model. The record is from RNAcentral.
ACAUUACUAGGGACGCAGCAGUGGGGAAUAUUGCACAAUGGGGGAAACCCUGAUGCAGCGACGCCGCGUGAGUGAAGAAGUAUUUCGGUAUGUAAAGCUCGAUCAGCAGGGAAGAAAAUGACGGUACCUGACUAAGAAGCCCCGGCUAACUACGUGCCAGCAGCCGCGGUAAUACGUAGGGGGCAAGCGUUAUCCGGAUUUACUGGGUGUAAAGGGAGCGUAGGUGGCAUGGUAAGCCAGAAGUGAAAACCCAGGGCUCAACUCUGUG